This 253-nucleotide ribosomal RNA is filed under the name uncultured bacterium. RNAcentral's name for it is "partial 16S ribosomal RNA". It matches the Rfam family "Bacterial small subunit ribosomal RNA", at positions 524 to 776 of the family's 1533-position model. The record is from RNAcentral.
UACAGAGGUCCCGAGCGUUGUUCGGAUUCAUUGGGCGUAAAGGGUGCGUAGGCGGCGGGGAAAGUCGGAUGUGAAAUCCUGGGGCUCAACCCUGGAACUGCAUUGGAUACUUCCUUGCUAGAGUACUGGAGAGGAAACUGGAAUUUACGGUGUAGCAGUGAAAUGCGUAGAGAUCGUAAGGAAGACCAGUGGCGAAGGCGAGUUUCUGGACAGUUACUGACGCUGAGGCACGAAGGCCAGGGGAGCAAACGGG